CAGUAGCCGCGGUAAUACAGAGGGUGCGAGCGUUAAUCGGAUUUACUGGGCGUAAAGCGUGCGUAGGCGGCUUCUUAAGUCGGAUGUGAAAUCCCUGAGCUUAACUUAGGAAUUGCAUUCGAUACUGGGAAGCUAGAGUAUGGGAGAGGAUGGUAGAAUUCCAGGUGUAGCGGUGAAAUGCGUAGAGAUCUGGAGGAAUACCGAUGGCGAAGGCAGCCAUCUGGCCUAAUACUGACGCUGAGGUACGAAAGCAUGGGGAGCAAACAGGAUUAGAUACCCGGGUAGUCCUGUCUCUUAUACA
RNAcentral lists this ribosomal RNA (301 nucleotides) under uncultured bacterium. RNAcentral describes it as "partial 16S ribosomal RNA". It matches the Rfam family "Bacterial small subunit ribosomal RNA", at positions 509 to 809 of the family's 1533-position model. The record is from RNAcentral.